AUGGCCGAUGCUGUCUGGCAGCGUCUCCGUGUGGACAGGCGGGUCCCUCCCAGUGGAAAGGAGCCAUUCCCACGGCGGUUAAGGGACAAGCAGGUUGAGAAGAAGGUGCCCCAGCCUGGAUGCCCGUGGUCCCAGGAGAUGAAAUUACCCCUGGAGAAGUGUCUUAGGGACGUCCGCCCAGCACAAAGCUCGUUCACCAUCCUUAAAGACCACAUCAGGACUAUAGGCUUAAAAGCAAAGUUUAUUCCUAAAGUUGCCUGCAAAAUAGCUGUACCUAUUUGCCUUUUCACCUAAAGCAGCUUUAGGAUGCAAAUGCACACCAGGACCCCCUCAGUUUUUUGGAGCAGAAGAGCCACGUUUUCCCCUUGGCUGUUACACAUUCGCAAGAAGCGGAAUAACCGUGACUAUCUGAGUAUGCAACCCCCCCACCAAACCCCAGCAGGGACCAAGGAAAAUGCAUCCGAAAAAAGCUUCCCUUUUCCUUUCCUUCUCAGGGAAUCGAUGACUCAGUGUCACUAACGGGACAUCACACAGUUAAACGUGCAACACGCCAUGCUGCUUUACGGCGACGUCGUUUCUGCGUCUUUAGAAAAAGCACCCCACGCGCUCAUUUUCACUGCUUAAGGUUAGAAAGAUGGCGUUACCGUUGGCGGGAAGGUAGGUGAAACGCUGGUACUGGCUUCGCUUUCUCUUCCCGUUGCAGACAUAGAAACUCACGUGAACAGGGCUGGUUAUCCUCUGAUUCCGAAACGGCGGGAUCUCAACCACCAGAGAAUUCUAGAGGAGAAGGGCACACAGGAGGCACAAUUAGCACCAGGCAGGUGACGGCUGCCGCGCCACGGCGGCCACACAGCAACCCUGCGUUUCCAUGGCGGUGCGGGACGCUGUGACCGUAAACUCCUGACUGGCCACCUGGGCGUCCAGAAGCAGCCGACGACAGCCCUGGACGCUCUGUGCCACCUGCACUUGUGUGUGGACACACACAGGAAAGGGAUGCCCUUGGCUUCUUGCACACCUAGGAGCCGAGAGGCUUCCUCAGAGCAGUGGAGCAAACAGGACCAACCUCAAGACUGAAAUCUUGUCACUUAAGGGAAAGAGAAGAUGUGAACAGAACUGGGACCUGAGGUGCCUGAGGGUGGAGGCUGCCCGGGGCCACCUGGGCAAGGGGCCUGGCAGGGAUGCAAAAGGCUCUGCCUACUCCGAUGCCAAAGGGUUGGUGACCUUCAGAAAACGACCCAAGGCCCCAGUGCCGGCCGCUGUGUGAUGGAAGUGCUCGGUGGCCCCGCACCUGCUCAGACGGCUGCAGUGAAACCCGGAGGAGCAGGUGCAUCCUGGAGACUCGGUCUCCGGGGAAGGCCUGUUUGUCACAUUUGAUGAUGGCCGAGGCCCUCAACCAGACCCCAAAUUCAUUCCAGCUGAGGAAGAGGAGGUGGACCCUGACCCCCGCAGACCCUGGGGUGGGAACAGCCAAGGGCACGGAGGCACACACAGCAGCGGGCGGCAUGUGGAGGCUGCCGUUACUUUUUCAUGUUUUUGUAUAAGAGUCAGCAGCAUGUUUACAAAACUCAUGCUCUCUCAAGUACACACACGAAACGCGAGCCAUGGGGUGUGGCACUGUUCACAGAGGUCGGGGCUGGGUGCGGGACUGGGAUACAGAGAUCCCGACCGCUUGCUCAGGCCCCAGCAUUACUUGGGGCUCUAAUGACCCUAAAUGACUGGGGCGAUGCGGGCAUCCCUGCUGAGGGCGAUACUUGGUAUCUGGGGAGAGGCUUGGUGGGAGUCGCAUCUAUAAAGUUUAAUUUUUAUAAUCAUAUGACUUAGUUUAACAAGCAGGAGAAAAAUCCAUUGUAUUACUUCUUUUGUUAAAGUAAUUAAUUAUAGCACAGCACCUAGCUUAA
Long non-coding RNA from Piliocolobus tephrosceles (Ugandan red Colobus), 1898 nucleotides. RefSeq lists it as uncharacterized. NCBI's taxonomy places the organism in Eukaryota, Metazoa, Chordata, Mammalia, Primates, Cercopithecidae. The record is from RefSeq and is a predicted model, not a curated record. The transcript has 2 exons.